RNAcentral lists this long non-coding RNA (2370 nucleotides) under Nicotiana tabacum (common tobacco). RNAcentral describes it as "long non-coding RNA (NTAB_LNC009886)". Lineage: Eukaryota; Viridiplantae; Streptophyta; Magnoliopsida; Solanales; Solanaceae. The record is from RNAcentral.
AAAUACGGAAAUUUAUAAUAGUCUAAAUACUAAUACACGACUACCCAAAAUCUGGUGUCACAAUCCACGAACUUCUAAGAGUUACUACAAAUAUUGGUAUAAAAAAAAUACAUUUGUUCUUGAAAUACAGGAAAAUAGGGAAGCUAGGAUAUAAGGAAGGGGACUCCAGGGUCUACGAAUACCGGCAGAUCUACCUUGGGUUUCCUGUGGACUGAAGGCAGCAACCCAAAACUCUAAUCAGUGCGGUCCAGUACCGGGAUCUGCACAGAAAGUGCAGAGUGCAGUAUCAGUACAACCAACUCCAUGUACUGGUAAGUGUCGAGCCUAACCUCGGCGAAGUAGUGAUGAGGCUAGUACACGACAAUAACAUGAACAUGUGCAAUUAAAUCACAUACAAGAAAAUAACAACAAUGGAAAUUUAACAGAUAAAAAAGGGGGAAAACAUGUUGAGGAGAAAUAUCAAACCCUGAAAUUAGUACAGUACAGGAACACAGUAAAUAUCAUGCUUUGAACCGACGGAUAUUAUAGCAUAACAAACAUGUGCACGGCAUCACCCUUCGUGCUUUUACUCUCAUCCUUACCAUAAGAAACAACAGAACGGCACAGCAUCACCCUUCGUGCACUAACUCUCUCAUAACAUGGCACGGCAUCACCCUUCGUGCAUUAUCAAAAUCAGAAUACGGCACGGCAUCACCCUUCACGCAUUAUCACUCACAGGAUAUGGCACGACAUCACCCUUCAUGCAUUAACACUCACUCACAAUAUCUUGUACGACAUCAUCCUUCGUGUUUUACAAAUGAUGCACAUAUCGUGGUUGUGCCCAUUGGGAUUAUGGAAAUCCUGGUGGACUUUGGACAAGAUUUUCUUAGAGGAUUAUUAUGCGGACAACAUAUUAACCUAGGCUAGGUUUGAUCAUGAUGCAUGUAUAGUUAUUAUCAGAGUAAGGUUUCUAUAGAAGUCUAGACUGGUACCCUCAAGCGGACAACUUGAGAGGGAAAGGCACGGAACCAUCGACUGCACCGCUGGUCAACUAGUUUUACCGCAAAUAAGCCUUUCCAAAUUUAAAGGGUAAUUUUAGAAAGAGCGCAGACACUCAUCAAGCGUCGCUAUAGUAUUAGUACGCAUGAGUGGAAUAUGAUGUUGAGCAUGCAGUUAUGCAAAAGAAAAUAACAUCUUGUCAAGUAUUUGCACGAUGAAUAAUGAUAAGAUGCGGUAUUUAAUAAUUGUAAAGGCAUUUAAGAAAGAAAAAUAAGGAGACAAGUCAAUUUCCAUCGUAAAAAUGAUAAAACAGGGAAGAGAAAUCAUAAAUGAAUGAAGAUAGGCAAAUAAAUUCACAUAAAAUGGGAAGGGGAAGGGGUGUGCAAGUAUUAACGGAAUAAUAAAGACAUGCUUAAAGACUAAUUCACAAACAAGUUUGUUAUGGUAAGAGCUUAAAGAUAUCCCUAGCAGAGUCGACAUACUAUCACGCCUCCUUUUUCUCGCGAAAUUGGGUUUCGACAUUUCUGGGACAUUUCCUUUUUGAGAGGGUAGGAAUUGGAAUUGAGAGAGUCGCCACCUAACGGAUUAAGGUGUGUAGGGCACCUAGAGUAGAUAACUCAUGUUACCACUUUACAUCACCAGAGAUCGGGUAAGGGCUGAAAAUUACCUUGAGGGGAAGGUGUUAGGCAUCCCUUGAGGUCCACAACGGUGGGUCCCGGUCGAACUUAACUUAUGAAUUAGUCUAAUAAAGAAGCAAGAGGAAUAUUUAAUAGGGAUGGGGGGUCCUUUUAUCAUUUGUUUUAAUAAAAGAACAUGGACAGAGAGUUAUUAAAGAAAACAUAAGAUUUGAACCAAAUGCGGUUCAAUUAAAUAAGGUUAAAACCCUAGUUUAAGUAAGUAAAGAUUUAACGAAAAAUAGGCAGAUUUAUGAGUAACAAAGUGAAUAUAGACGAAAAAUAACAUUAAAACAAAAUAAAGCUCAACCAAAUCUGGUUCGAAUCAAAGAUUUGAAAACCCUAACUUUAGGUUAGGUACGAAUCAGUGGAAGAUAUGAAAAUAUUCGUACUCACCUAGGAAAGCUGAUGAACAUAGAUUGAAAGGAGCAAAGAUCUUAACCGGAUUCAGUUCACAAUAGGAGAGAUCUGCUUGCCAUGUUAGGCAAGCAAUUAUGGAAUACCAUAAAUGAGUGGCUAGUAGCGAGAAAGGCUCAAUAAGGUAAGGGAAUCAUUGAUUGAUUCCAUCUUAGGAUGGAAUCGGAGGGGCUAAUAGGUGACGACGCUAGGGUUUUGAGAGGAACAAGAUGAAAGAGAGAGAGUGUAUAGAAACGGCAGGUUGGGGUAAAGUGAUUUAGGGUUUGGGCGGAAGGGUACAAUUAAAGGGGUGAGGGUGUUG